AAAAACAUCGAGGGUGAAGUACCUGCUUUAGGUGCACCGCACCCACGUCUUCGUACAGACAGAGUAUAAAAGCAAACGCGCAACACGCUUCGAUUGAGUUCAAACUGAGAAGCGCCCAGCGACAGACCCAACGACCUAACAUGCACUGCCGCCUAUUUCUGCUGCUCCUCGUUUCUGUCUUUCUGCUAUUGAGCCCGAGCCUGGCUGCAAAACGUGCACUUGACCCGCAAGAUUCUAAGCCUUCACAGAACAAGAAAGAGCCACAAUCCGGCAUCUACCAUGCAGUCAGCGUUGUAGAAUUUCCGAGCCGAGACCAAUGCGCAAACGGAAUGGUGUUUGACAAACGUACCGGCCAAUGUAGACGAAGCUACAGUGUUGCAUGAUCUUAAAUUAACAUCUUGAUGGAUAAAUUGAAUUGUCCGAAAAGAUUUUCUUUACAACAACAAAAUCAGUUGUUUCAUUUCGUAGAAAAAUUAUUAAGAAGCCAUCCAACACGGGCUUUUUAUUUCAAUUGAAUUGAUUCAAGGAGAAUAAAAAUCGCAGGCAAGAAAAAUUGCAAGAUUACAGUUGAAUUUUAAAACAAUUUUGGUCAGGGUUCGAAAAGCCCGCAUUUUUCCGGAAAAACCUCUUCAUUUUUUGCGGGUGUUUCUGUAAUUUAGCACAUUUUUCCGAAGCACGUGCAUUUUUAUUGAAGAUUCUCAUGAAAAGGGAUUUUUACAAAAGCCACUGUUUCACCAUAAGACCAAAAAUUGUAUCUCUCAUCGUAAUUUUCCAAAAUUCCCUAAGUUUUAGGCGCGAAAUGUGACCUAUUCGAGGUUAAAUUAAGAAAAAUGCCGAAAAUUUUUCGUUUUUUCCAGCCGUAUUUUGCGCUAAAAAAACAAUGGUGCAUUAUUGCACAUUAAAAAACGGCGAGACCUGAUUUUAAUGUGAAUGACAUUCGACUUGGAAAUACCCUUGCUUUUUGCCACUCAAUUUGCACGUAAGUGCAAACAAACAAAGGAGUGUACUUGAGAAUGACUCAGGAACAGUCGAGUACUUUCAGUAUGAACCGAGAAGCAAGAACAGAAGGUCGGCCGCAAAAUGAAUCUCAAAGGAUGCGUGCUGUUCCUCGUCGCAGCUAUUUUGGUCAGCUGCACCAUGUGGACGCCGACUAGUGCCUUGGAAGCAAGCAACUUGAAAUUAAAACCGCAAUCAUCCGGCACAGGAAAGCUGGCGGCCUUCAAUCCCACCAAUAUCGGGAUUGCGCCGAUUAGGGACAACUGCCCAAGAGGAACGAGAUACGACUCACGCUCUGGAAAAUGUAGGAGAAUUUCACUCUAACCUUUUUGUGCAUAUUGUAAUACGGUACAAGGUGAUAGAUUGUGGUGACGGAUUCAAUAAAAAUUUGUAAACGCACAUUGAA
Molecule: long non-coding RNA, 1402 nt
Organism: Cloeon dipterum
Lineage: Eukaryota; Metazoa; Arthropoda; Insecta; Ephemeroptera; Baetidae
Exons: 2
Source: RefSeq, a predicted model, not a curated record